Long non-coding RNA from Orcinus orca (killer whale), 2547 nucleotides. RefSeq lists it as uncharacterized. Lineage: Eukaryota; Metazoa; Chordata; Mammalia; Artiodactyla; Delphinidae. The record is from RefSeq and is a predicted model, not a curated record. The transcript has 3 exons.
UCAACCCUCCUGUUGCCACCAAAAGCCUUGCUUCUCUUGUGUUUUCUGAUGAAGCUGUGCAGGGAACUUCUUUUUCCUGCAAGGGUUUGUCUUCAGCACCUCCUGACCCACCUCUAAUGGUUUUUCCUAUUGCCUCAGGGGUCCUGGAGGAAGCACCCCAUUCCUGCUUCCCAUCUCCCACCUGGUCCAGCCAAGAGGAAGAAUUCAGGCACGGGGCAGAAGACUCUGGGAAGAGUAAGAUUAUUUAAGCCUUAGUAGCACGAAGGGAAACGCUUGUUGACCAAAAGGUUUGUCAUCAAGUCCUUGAAGAAUUCAUGCCAUGACAACGGUGUCAAUGCCAGCAAUUAGCAGACGUGGCAACCGCAUCUCUUGCUUGAUGUUUGCUCUGUGCUACUUACACUGAGAGCCUUCUUUUUCAGGGGGCUUCGUGGGUGAUGGCUUUGCGUGAGGCUGACUUGGGUUCAGAGGAAGGACAGGAACGGUUGUGGCCCUAGAUAGUUCUCCUUGGCUCACACUGGAGUUUCUCCUUCCUUUUCUAGAUUCUGGCCUCAAAGGCCUGAUGCAAGUGAAAUAGAAAUCAGCUGACGAUUGACGUUUACUAACUGACUUUCCUUUGUGCACCUGCUACAUCCCAGCAACGUGGUGGAUAGUUAAGGCAAGGCCCCUGCCUUCAAGGAGCAGACCGUAUAGCAGAGACAAGGACGUCUGUGGGUAACUUUGGAAAGGGGCUAAAGGGAGACUGGGAGCCUGGCAGCAUUUGGGAGGAAUUUGCUAAAUUAUGGAUAAAGAAGGAACAGAUAAAUUACUCACCAUCCACUGCGUAUAAGACGCAAGGCCCUAAGGAGGGAAGGAAUUAAACACCCUUAGGAGUCUUACUUGUCUUCUCAAAUGGCACGUUACCCAUGCUUCCCAUCUCGAGGUAGGAUGACACCUAUGGCAUAGGGCAGACUUUCACAGGCAAGUUACCCCACGUCUUGGAGCCUCCUUUCCUGUCUCUGUUACACAGAGAUAGUAAACCCCCAGCCUAACAGGACUGACAGCUGAGGCCCUGGUCCUCAAACUUGAUUGUGCAUCAAUAGUGCCUGGGGCAUGGGAUCUGUUCCAUCCCAGCUUCCUGGGUCACUGCCCCCGCCGCCCAGAUUCUGAGUCAGCAGGUCUGGGUUGAACGCGAGAUUCUGCAUUUCUCACAUGUUCCCAGGCAAUGCUGCUGGUGCAGGAGCCUCCCUCUGAGAACCGCUGAGCUCAUGACCGUAAGUGCUGCUUAUAGAGCACGAGGUUCCAUUCAAACACUGUUACACACCUCCCUUUGCAAGGGUGUGAUAUUAGGCUUCAGUAACUAGAACUGGGGGGGGGGGGCCUGGUACCCCCUCAGCAAUGCAAACAAGCAGCCACCGUCACAGCUGAUCUGGUCACGGCUUGAGCUCAGCACCGUUUCUUUCAGGACCAGAUGAUGUAGCUGGAGACCUGGCACAGUAACACACUCUGAGAAUUUGUCACCUCUGCUGGCUCCCCUGCCUGGCUGGGCGAGGGGACAGGGACACUGUGGCAGGGUCUGGUAGCUGCCCGCACCCUCUGACCAAUGACCUGUCAGGAGACUGCAGCCUUGCUCUCUGGAAAUUCUGAAAGGGCCCUCAGCUGCCCACGUGUGCACUUAAUGCACUGAGACCCAGGGAAGGAAAAAGAGCCACUGCUGAUUCAGCAAAGUACACCUGGGCUCCCAUGAUGCGGCAGGAAAGAGCUUCUCCAAAGGAAGGUGUCUGGGGCACCAAAAUGGCAAAGGAAGGAAGUGGAUUCUUGGAGAUAUGGGGCUGGCCAAAAAGUUUGUUCGGGGUUUCCCAUAAGAUGGUAUGAAAAAAACCCAAAUGAACUUUUUGGCCAGCCCAAUAUGUUGAGGCACCAGAAAAGGCACUGUGUAUCUCAGUCAGCAUCGCUUGGCUUCCCAGAUCUCAGCUCCACUAGAACCGGCUAAAGCUCAGAAGACUCUGGACAUGCUUUCUCCAUCCCCAGCUCCAUCCGGAUGUGGGAAGACCGAGAGUACACAGAAAGCUCCCCUGCCUACUGGUGAGCUGAGCAUGGCGGCCAGGCACAGAGUGGACGGGAGCAGCACGAGGGGCCGUCCUGCAGGGCGACUGAAUCCCCGCCCCACACCUAGACCACCUUGGGAAGUACCAACCCCAGUCUCCUCUUGUGUCCAAUGUGGUGGCGCUCCUCUGUAGGGUCCUUGUGAGCUAGUACGUGGUGAGCACCUAGGACAGCGCCUGGGGUAGACUGGCCAUUUGACUGUCACUUAUUAUCCUUGUCCACAGUGUUGACACAGCUUCGGUCAAAGUGGGAUUCUCACAAAUGGGCAACUUUCAUUCUCUCAUACGCUCUAUGGCCAAUGUAUCACCCUGAGCAUCAAACACUCCAUUUCUAGUCAUUGAUCCAGAGAAAUCAUCUGAAACGGGAACAAAAAUUCGUUCUUGGCCAAGUGUAUUGCCAUUGGGUUUAAACUGGAAAAUAAAAGAGGACAGUCUAAAUGCUCCACGUCGAGAAACUCGUUCUGUC